RNAcentral lists this long non-coding RNA (781 nucleotides) under Volvox carteri. Its description in RNAcentral is "long non-coding RNA (VCAR_LNC002960)". The record is from RNAcentral. Lineage: Eukaryota; Viridiplantae; Chlorophyta; Chlorophyceae; Chlamydomonadales; Volvocaceae.
GCAACCGUUGGUAUUACAUUUUGAUUUCAGCUCAGCUCUAAGCCUGCUGCCAGCAGCAGUCGGUGCUGCACCACUGGAAGCGGCCAGCAGCAGUGCCGUUCGUCUCUCCAACAGAGCUUGGGCCAUGGCGGCUCGGUUGGCCUGCAGCAUCAGGAAUGAAACAUACAUACAAAUAUACAUACAUACAGCCAUGAGGUAAGGUUUACCAUAGCGCUUUGCUGGUACAGCGCGCUAUGUCCAUGCAAUUGCUUAGAAUACAGUACGCAAGAUUUUCAGUACAUACAUCCACCCCCUUCCUUUAGCCUGCGGUCUCAGGGCAUCUUGCGAGACUACUAGUAGCAAACAAGCCUCUGCUGCUGACGGUGUAUUGGGUGCACAAAUAAGCAAAUCCAUGGCCUCGAUUCCAACCCUCAUGACUAGGAUUAGGGGCAAAGCAUGCAUGCUUCAUCAUGGAUCACGAGCAAGAAUCCGACCGUUGAAAUAUAGAAGACCGUGCCAGCAACCCCAAUAAGCUCGUGAUCAUCAAUUACCAGAGGAGCAGAAACAGCUCGAGCGACGCAACGUGUCGAAAAGGCAAUCAACAGCUAGGUAAAGCAUGCUCAUGAUCCUGUCCGCUGCUGUCCUUGCACGCACCUCAGCUGUGGUGGUGGUACCGCCUCUUGAGUUUGCAUUGGCAGACGAUGCGUCAGUGCCGGCCGCAGGUGUGGGCAUCAUACCGAAAGCCGUGCUUGAAAGUGAAUCCUGCUGACGAUGUUCCGCUGAUGCCGCUGAUGAUGGUGAG